RNAcentral lists this long non-coding RNA (1747 nucleotides) under Stylophora pistillata. RNAcentral describes it as "uncharacterized LOC111320929". The record is from RNAcentral. Lineage: Eukaryota; Metazoa; Cnidaria; Anthozoa; Scleractinia; Pocilloporidae.
UCAUUUCUUCUUAUUUCACAUCACAACUGUGUCACUCUGACCAAGGAAUUCAGUUCGCAACCGUGACCAAGGAUAAGUUACAAACUCGAAAUUCGCAACAAUCGCUUCUAAGUAAGCCCCAAACAAACCCGUUUGGAUAAGCUAUGUUUUUGUCAAAUGCAAAUCUGUGAUGAUUGUAAGCUCCCGAAUCAAAAAGUGGUGAAGCAGAUGUUCUCCCUUGAAAAGGGAAAAACACGAAAAUUUCUCGACCAAAAUCAACUUGAACCUGUUUGCCUGAGUCAGUUACGUUACAAGAAAAAUUUUUUUAGCCCCUUUUUUAAUUUAAAAACGUCAAAGGUUGGCGUAUAUGUGAUUUUAUUGAUUUUCUUUCUCCUUUUUUUUUUCAAAGAAAUAUUUUUAUGUUAGCUUUAUUCAAAUAUUCCUUGCAUGCAAAUCAUUUGACAGGAGAUUUCCCUAUUGUCCUAGUUUGAAAUUUCCAGAGGAAAUGAGAAAUCCUGGAAAGUUAAGAAUUUAAAAGCUGUGUGAAAUCUGAAAUAGUUUCCAGCGAGAAUUUUUUUGAAACAUCUGUUGUGAAGAUUAUAUUCAGGUCGUAAACUGGCCUUAUAAGAAGAGGCAAUUAUCAAUAGAACAUGUUAUGUUCUUCUUUGAUUAACAAAGAGGCCUUUGAGAAUGUGGAGAAAGAGAAAUUUGCAGUGUUUUCAUCAUUCCUGAGAAUUUACCUUGCAUUCCAUUUCAUGCCCAGAAUUCUGCUGGGCAUGAAAUGCGCAUACCAACCCUUACAUUAAAUGUCUUGUCCAAUGAAUGCGGAAUCUACCACAGGGAUAAUUUUUAUAAAAGAUGUACAGCUUUAUUCCCAUCUCCGAGAAUGAAGUGUACCUACCUCACAAUCCCAUUUAAUUUUUUUAGCUAUGCAGAAACAUUCUUUGAGUGAUAUUUUGUCUAGCUGCCCUGGUUAAGUUCUGCUGGAAGUUUCUGUACACAUGUGUUAAGGGUGCACCCUUGAUAGGGUCAGGGACCCUGCUGGCAGCUCUUAUGGGCUUACUGUGUUGGUGUUUAGUUUGAGGCUGCUAAUUUGUGAAAAAUUCCAGGUGCAAAGCUCUAUGAAUUGUAAUUAAUCUUAGUUUUGAAAUUCUGAUGAGGCCAGAUGACAAACACAUGAACAAAAAUAAAGUCUCAAAACUUAGAACCUUUCAAACAAGGUGGAGGAAAAAAGCAUGUUCACUUCUUGUUUCUCGUGCUUUAACGUUUUUUACUUCAUAAUGGAAUUUUUUUUUUCAAUGCACCCUUUCAUGUAAAAGUGUGUUGUGGGUUUUAUAAUAGGUGGCCUGCUGUACUUUGCAUAUCAUAGCACAACAAAGAAUGCAUUUACAUGUCUUUUAAAAUUUUCAAACAUUUCAUUUCUUUAAGUUUCAUUGUGUGCUGAAUUCUUUAAAUGGUAUUGCUUUUCUUGCUGACAACAAAAUCUUGCCAGUCAGUUCAUGGCUUUCUUGAGUUGACAAACUGUCUGCAGAACACUAGAUGGCUUGAUGCUUGAAUUUCUCUCUGACAUGAGCACAAAUUAAGAUUGUUUGUGGUUGAAAAUGCGCAGCUGGUAUUUUGUCAAAGUCCUGGCAGCUUCAAGCUCUUCACCCGUUGUGCAGCUGUCUAAAUGAUUUCCCUUCAACAAGAUUUGACAUCUGAAGCUCAUAAGAUAUUUGAAUGUAAUAUUACAAGCAUUGUCUAUUUGUAUUAAAGUGCUCCAACCUCU